UACUGUCAUAGGUUGUUGUAAUGCCGC
This 27-nucleotide small RNA is filed under the name Bombyx mori (domestic silkworm). RNAcentral describes it as "piRNA piR-bmo-2179687". The record is from RNAcentral. Lineage: Eukaryota; Metazoa; Arthropoda; Insecta; Lepidoptera; Bombycidae.